CGUCCCUCCUCCCGCUUUGCUGGGAAGCCAGCAGAAGAGACGCUGCGCAGCUAUCGCUCUUGCUCUGCUGGCUUCUCAGCGAAGCGGGAGGAGGGACA
Non-coding RNA from Podarcis lilfordi (Lilford's wall lizard), 98 nucleotides. The record is from the annotation of a GenBank genome assembly. Lineage: Eukaryota; Metazoa; Chordata; Lepidosauria; Squamata; Lacertidae.